RNAcentral lists this microRNA (23 nucleotides) under Prunus persica (peach). Its description in RNAcentral is "microRNA miRNA_359". The record is from RNAcentral. RNAcentral also lists the same sequence under 1 other name. Lineage: Eukaryota; Viridiplantae; Streptophyta; Magnoliopsida; Rosales; Rosaceae.
GUCGGACCAGGCUUCAUUCCCCC